This is a long non-coding RNA of Sapajus apella (tufted capuchin), 93 nucleotides long. RefSeq lists it as uncharacterized. The transcript has 4 exons. The record is from RefSeq and is a predicted model, not a curated record. Lineage: Eukaryota; Metazoa; Chordata; Mammalia; Primates; Cebidae.
UAAAUAGGAAAGGUCUCUUUUGUUAAUUUAGGUUUAGCCUAAAGCUGCCUCCUUACAUAUUUUAACUUUGGCCUAAAGGUUUUUCUGAACAUG